This 301-nucleotide ribosomal RNA is filed under the name uncultured bacterium. RNAcentral describes it as "partial 16S ribosomal RNA". It matches the Rfam family "Bacterial small subunit ribosomal RNA", at positions 509 to 807 of the family's 1533-position model. The record is from RNAcentral.
CAGCAGCCGCGGUAAUACAGAGGGUGCGAGCGUUAAUCGGAUUUACUGGGCGUAAAGCGUGCGUAGGCGGCUUCUUAAGUCGGAUGUGAAAUCCCUGAGCUUAACUUGGGAACUGCAUUUGAAACUGGCAAGCUAGAGUCUUGUAGAGGGGGGUAGAAUUCCAGGUGUAGCGGUGAAAUGCGUAGAGAUCUGGAGGAAUACCGGUGGCGAAGGCGGCCCCCUGGACAAAGACUGACGCUCAGGUGCGAAAGCGUGGGGAGCAAACAGGAUUAGAUACCCCAGUAGUCCCUGUCUCUUAUAC